GAGAGCCGGAUGCGGUGACAAGCCGCACGUCCGGUUCGGGAGGGGGAGGUUGAUGCUCUUGAGUCAUCAAGACUUGGCCUCCUACCUCAC
This is a non-coding RNA of Ktedonobacter sp. 13_2_20CM_53_11, 90 nucleotides long. NCBI's taxonomy places the organism in Bacteria, Bacillati, Chloroflexota, Ktedonobacteria, Ktedonobacterales, Ktedonobacteraceae. The record is from Rfam.